CAUCUAUCUGCACUGGAAAUGUUGAGAGGGCCUUUGCUUGCUGAAAAUGGGGCAGGAGUCUAAGCAGAGGGAACAAUAAUGGAAGAUCCGUGAGGUCAAGAACUGUGUUUUGUGCACUGCUGCAUCCCCGCUUCUUAGAGGAACAUGUGCCAUAUCGAUGUUUAAUGAAUAAACAAAGGAAUGCAAUACAAGAUGACAUAACAUGGUCAAUCGACCAUGAAAAAUACACUGGAAGAUAACUAAGAAGAAUUUAAUCAGAAAACUGUGAAUUUGGAACUGAAUGUAGUAACUGAAAACAUCUUGAAGUUGUCUGUCUUUGAGGAAGGAGUGGGUACAUUUUCAUUUAUAUAUGGGAUAGUUCUCUUUCUUAAGAAAGUAAUAUUUCUGGAAUUUAUGAAAAUAAGGGUUCAGGAAUGCACAGGGCAGCCAAGGGGUGGAAUGUAGUGGUGAGAGCACAUCUAUUUUCUUUGGGUCUACUAAUUCCCCUCCCCAUUUCUAUGUGUUCACACUGGGAUUGUCCAUCAUGAUGGACCAUCAUGAUGAUGGACCAUCCCAAUGUGAUUGUCCGCCCUCAUUAGUUACAAGGUGUUUCAGUUAUCCAUUGCUGUGUAACAGAUGACACCAAAACUUAGUGGCUUAAAACAACCAUAACGCAUUAUAUCCCAUGAUUUGUGGGUUGGCUGGAUUAGCUUGGCCCUGCUGCUGUUCUGUGUGAUUGUUGUGGUACAUUCUGCAGGUAACUCAUCUGCUGGGAUAUAUCCAGGAUGGCCCCGAAAGACUAAAAAUGAAAGCUGCAAGGUCUCUGACGACAUAAUCCCAAAAGUUAUACAGUGCCACUUCCACCACAUUCUAUUGGUCAAAAUGAAUCAAAAGGCCAGCUCAGAUUCAAGAGGAGAAACAUAGACUGUGCCUCCCUCUUAAGGAGAGGAGCAGUACGCAUAGACAAGGAUGAGAGAAUGUUGGUAGAUCUCUUUGCUGAUGAUGUAUUACACUUCACCCUGGCUACAAAUAUUUAUGUCUCUCAUGUGUACAAAAUACUCUCAGACCCUUGCAAGAUCCCUGAAGUCUCAUCCAAUCAUGGCAUAAGGCUGCUCCAAGUCCAAAAUCUCAUCAUGUAAUGAGGUCUAGGUGCAGAUUAAACUUCUUAGGUGUGAUUUCUUGAAUGUAAUGCCUUGGGUGCAACACCACUUGAUCCAGUGGCCUGGGCACUAAAAAAAAAAAAUGAUCC
This 1228-nucleotide long non-coding RNA is filed under the name Homo sapiens (human). RNAcentral's name for it is "HSALNT0144351". Lineage: Eukaryota; Metazoa; Chordata; Mammalia; Primates; Hominidae. The record is from RNAcentral.